UUUUGCUCUAUUUUUCCCUAACGGAGGAAAAGAAACCAACAGGGAUUGCCUCAGUAACGGCGAGUGAAGCGGCAAAAGCUCAAAUUUGAAAUCUAGCACCUUCGGUGUUCGAGUUGUAAUUUGAAGAUGGUAACCUUGGGUUUGGCUCUUGUCUAUGUUCCUUGGAACAGGACGUCAUAGAGGGUGAGAAUCCCGUCUGAUGAGAUGCCCAUUCCUAUGUAAGGUGCUAUCGAAGAGUCGAGUUGUUUGGGAAUGCAGCUCUAAGUGGGUGGUAAAUUCCAUCUAAAGCUAAAUAUUGGCGAGAGACCGAUAGCGAACAAGUACAGUGAUGGAAAGAUGAAAAGAACUUUGAAAAGAGAGUGAAAAAGUACGUGAAAUUGUUGAAAGGGAAGGGCAUUAGAUCAGACUUGGUGUUUUACGAUUAUCUUCUCUUCUUGAGUUGUGCACUCGUAUUUCACUGGGCCAGCAUCGAUUCGGAUGGCAAGAUAAUGGCAGUUGAAUGUGGCUUCACUUCGGUGGAGUGUUAUAGCUUCUGCUGAUAUUGCCUGUCUGGAUCGAGGGCUGCGUCUUUGACUAGGAUGCUGCGAAAGUCGAG
Molecule: ribosomal RNA, 595 nt
Filed under: Hansenula anomala
Lineage: Eukaryota; Fungi; Ascomycota; Saccharomycetes; Phaffomycetales; Wickerhamomycetaceae
Description: Wickerhamomyces anomalus partial large subunit ribosomal RNA
Rfam family: Eukaryotic large subunit ribosomal RNA
Source: RNAcentral